UACGUAGGGGGCUAGCGUUGUCCGGAAUCAUUGGGCGUAAAGCGCGUGUAGGCGGUUCGGUAAGUCCGCUGUGAAAGUCGGGGGCUCAACCCUCGAAUGCCGGUGGAUACUGUCGGGCUAGAGUGCGGAAGAGGCGAGUGGAAUUCCUGGUGUAGCGGUGGAAUGCGCAGAUAUCAGGAGGAACACCAAUAGCGAAGGCAGCUCGCUGGGACGGUAUUGACGCUAAGGCGCGAAAGCGUGGGGAGCAAACAGG
This 253-nucleotide ribosomal RNA is filed under the name uncultured bacterium. RNAcentral describes it as "partial 16S ribosomal RNA". It matches the Rfam family "Bacterial small subunit ribosomal RNA", at positions 524 to 776 of the family's 1533-position model. The record is from RNAcentral.